CCCAAAAAUAUUGAUUUACCGCUUCUCUCUCUUUCCUGUUCUCUGGUUACUGCUCCACCCAAAUUCAUUUUCCCGCUUAUCUCUUUUCCCCUCUCUGGUUUCUCUCCUUCCUCUCUCGUUGGUUCUGUUCUGGACGCGAAAUUCGAAAGUCACAACAUUCACUACACAGAUCGCACUGUUUUCCCUCACCGUCGCGGCGCCACUGCUGUUCCCCCACCGCCUCGUCGUUUCUGUCCCCCCACCGCCGUGUCGUUUCUGUCCCCCCACCGCCACGUCGUUUCUAUUCCCCCUCUUUUUGGAUUGACUAAUUUCGAUUGUUUGAGCUUUUUUGCUGCUAUUGUUAUCAAUAAAUUUAUAGAUUUUCUCUAUCAUAUUAUAGAGCUAUUUGGGUUUAAAUUGGGUCCGCCGCAGCCGAGCCAUGGUGUUGGAUUGCUUUACUUUAUCGCGUUCUCUCUCCUCAGAUCAUCAAUAUUUUGCCUUGAUUUUCACUGUUGGAGAAAGAACGAAGAUGAUGAUGAUGAAAAACCCCGCUUCAAAAAGAUCGUUUUCGCUUUGUCGCCAUUUCCAUUGUUGACUUUGUAGUUUCAUUGACCAUUACCACCAAUCCCUGGAGGCUCAUUAUUCUCUUUGACUAUUUCCACAUCAUUGGGAGCUGCAAAGUUGAUAUGUGUCUGCACUGUUGAAACUGCUACUUGAGGUGGUGAUGAUCUCCUCGCUAUUUUAUUUUCAGUGGCGGUGUUGAAAAAUCUCAAGAAACAAUGGAAAAACACGCCGCCCAACUGGACCAGACAUGAUCCAUGUGGUGAAAAAUGGGAUGGCAUUUCCUGCAACGGCUCGCAUGUGACUGAUAUGUUAGUCUGCUAAUAAACUUAUUAUCAGGUAUAAAUCUGACAGGUCCAUUGCUUGAAGAAAUUGUGUCUUUGUCUGAGCUGCAGAGACUGUAAGUUGUACUAAUAUAACGUUGCUAUUGAAAGGUCCAUUCUCUGUCUUAUGCACUCCUUGGGGAUUCACAUCAUUUUUUGUUGCUCCUCUUUCCUAGUUUCUUUCUAAUAUGCGUUCAUGAUUCAUUUUCUGGCUGCCUGGAUGGAAGGACAUGGUAGUUUUUAUUUUGUUUGUAUCCCUCCUUUUGUACAUGUGACUCCGCUAUGAUGUCCCGAUAAUGGUAUUCUUAUAUUUCUUGUCAUUCUUCUCUACAACUUAGAUGAUACUUAGCUGAUAAAAUUAUGUUCGUGUAGUUGUUGACAUAUUGCUCUCGAGGGACGAGAUGGAAACAUUUACUUGUUUUCUUAUGACGUGUGGUUUGUUCUACUGGUUUUUUCUUAGUGGACGGACAUUCAUCUCAUCUACUGCAUGGCUUCUGUUGCUGGCCAUAAAAUUUAUUAGGUUUUUUCUUAGGUUUAAACUGAUGACAUAAAAUGUAUAAAACCUCAAUGGAAACAUAAUCUACAGACUAAAAGCAGUUUUCAGGUCCGCGACUAAAGAUCCUAGAUCCUAACGAAAGUUCUAGACAUGCACAAGUUGGAGCCGAUAAAACUAAAUGAGCAGGAGCAACUGCAUUUCAUGGUCGAGCUCUCUUGUUGCUGCUACAAGAUGGGCAUUUGUAAUGCUUGAUGUGCUCAGCUCUGGCAGAGGUGUGAUCUUCACACAUUUGCCGUGGAACCACGUUUCACAAAUGUCGCAGCAAAUCCAGAACUCAUCUGAUGCAUAGGAUUCUGCACAUGCCCCACAUAAGAUCUGCAACAACCAUAUAUUACAUGGUUUCUAAACAAGGUUGUAGCAGCGAAUGACGAAGCUUGAAAGUAAGCAGGUCUGAGAACUAAACGACACUGUGAAUUCUUCAUCCUUUAAAGGUGUGCAAGAUACAAUUGGAGACAUUUUUGUUCAAGAUUGGAAUGCUUAAUGACGUAAAAAUUCCAAUUUUUAUUUUAUUUCAGAAGUAGUAUAUUGAUACUUGUAUAGAAAUAGCUUAAUAGACACUAGAUUGGUUCAUAUAUAUGACGAUUGUAUGUAUAUUGUUCUAUAUACGAAGUAUAAGAAAUAUAUGUUGGAGUACUUUGCCAAUAAAAUUUUCAUUUGUGUAUA
Molecule: long non-coding RNA, 2082 nt
Organism: Spinacia oleracea (spinach)
Lineage: Eukaryota; Viridiplantae; Streptophyta; Magnoliopsida; Caryophyllales; Amaranthaceae
Exons: 7
Source: RefSeq, a predicted model, not a curated record